GGAAUCUUCGGCAAUGGGGGCAACCCUGAUCCAGCCAUGCCGCGUGAGUGUUAAGGUCUUCGGAUUGUAAAGCUCUUUUGUGUGGGAAAAUGAUGAUGGUACCACAAGAAUAAGCACCGGCUAACUUCGUGCCAGCAGCCGCGGUAAUACGAAGGGUGCAAGCGUUGUUCGGAAUUACUGGGCGUAAAGGGCGUGUAGGCGGACAGAUUAGUUGGAAGUGAAAUCCCGGAGCUUAACUCCGGAACUGCUUUCAAAACGGUUUGUCUAGAGUGUAGUAGGGGACAAUGGAAUACCCAGUGAAGAGGUAAAAUUCGUAGAGAUUGGGUAGAACACCAGAGGCGAAGGCGAUUGUCUGGACUAUUACUGACGCUGAGGCGCGAAAGCGUGGGGAUCAAACA
RNAcentral lists this ribosomal RNA (398 nucleotides) under uncultured bacterium. RNAcentral describes it as "bacterial SSU rRNA". It matches the Rfam family "Bacterial small subunit ribosomal RNA", at positions 358 to 774 of the family's 1533-position model. The record is from RNAcentral.